Molecule: long non-coding RNA, 676 nt
Organism: Mytilus trossulus (common blue mussel)
Lineage: Eukaryota; Metazoa; Mollusca; Bivalvia; Mytilida; Mytilidae
Exons: 4
Source: RefSeq, a predicted model, not a curated record
UUGACCAUAUACAUAUGACGUGAUAUUGUUAAUUCAUCACUGGAGAAGAAAAUAUGAACAUCGUUGGUUUGCUGGGAUUUUUUCUACUUUUUGAGUCAUUACUUUGUAGUUCUGACAACAAAAUAUUCAAAGGCAUCGUGACUUUGAGUAACAAAUGAUCGUUUAAGAAGAAGUACAAACACGUUCUGGACUGGUUCCACAAGGAAGGACUUUACUAUAUACCACAGUUGAAUGUCACAGAAGCGAACAAAAUACCAGAACUAAUAUUGUACAAUAAAAAUGACGUGGAAAUAUUUAGAAUACCAUUGGACAAAACAACCUAUGAAAAAUUAGAUAACCUGAUUAAAGAUUUAGGAUUUUACCGUCAAAAAACGUUCAGUGACAAUCUUCCAGCAGAAUAUGAAAACGGACCAGUUCCCCCACCAGAUGGCGUGUCUAUCGAUGAUCUCCUCGCUGGAUUUUCCCUUUGUGAACGAUAUGGAAUACAAAGCGAAUUAGCUGCAGAAUAUUCUUGUGGAAAAUAAAUUUACUUUGUAUGAAAAUCGAAGAAAAUUAAUUGCAGCUUGAUACUUAAUGAUAUGUUUAUUGAAACAAUCAAUUUGAAUAUAAACAUGGAUAGCUCGUUUCAUGCUGUAAUUCAUAAAUAUCAAUAUUAAAAAGUUAUGUUACACAUACA